Molecule: long non-coding RNA, 581 nt
Organism: Episyrphus balteatus (marmalade hoverfly)
Lineage: Eukaryota; Metazoa; Arthropoda; Insecta; Diptera; Syrphidae
Exons: 3
Source: RefSeq, a predicted model, not a curated record
UUUUUUUUUUAUCAACCCCCAUUUUGAAACUCACAAGAAGGCACGCGCUUUUCAUUUCAUCUUCUUCGUUUGGCGUCUGCAUUCACCAGCUACAAAUCUAAUUGUGUGAAAACCAAGAUAAUAUUCUACUUUGUCGGGCGUUUACCAGCAAUAACUGCUACAUAUACAUAAAUUUACAUCAGCAAGACCAGGCAUAAUUAAAAAUUCCAAGAAAAUUACAAAAAUCGGCUUAACAUUUGGAAAACUACAAAUUUAAACAAUCAUCGGCUAGACAUCUGAAAACCAGCUUCUACAAUCAUCAGCCAAACCAAACUAAUUUAUAUUUUAAGCAGAUAAAAACUGUAAGUAACACCUUUUUGAUAGAUACGAAAAUAAACUUUAUAUUACUAGAUCUAGCCAAAAUUUAAUUUUAUGAAAAUAAUCCUUUUAUUCGAAAUUCUUUCUGGUAUCGUUUUAAAGUAAAAUUUAAAGUGAUAGAUCUGUAUAGCUUAUUUUAAUUUUAAAAGAUACAGGUAAUCAAACUAACAUUAAUUCUUCUACCUAAAAGAUUCCAAAAUAUUUAAAUCAUUUGAAAAAAAAAC